This 131-nucleotide transfer RNA is filed under the name Nemania serpens. RNAcentral describes it as "tRNA-Sec". The record is from RNAcentral. Lineage: Eukaryota; Fungi; Ascomycota; Sordariomycetes; Xylariales; Xylariaceae.
UCCUCCGUGGCGCAAUUGGCUAGCGCGUCGUAAGUUCAAUCCGACAUCUGCACAACCAGCAACGUUUAAUCUAACUAAAUCUGCAGUGACUGUUAAUCAGGAGGUUGAAAGUUCGAGCCUUUCCGGGGGAG